GUCGAACGAUGAUGCCCAGCUUGCUGGGUGGAUUAGUGGCGAACGGGUGAGUAACACGUGAGUAACCUGCCCCUGACUCUGGGAUAAGCGUUGGAAACGACGUCUAAUACUGGAUAUGAUCACUGGCCGCAUGGUCUGGUGGUGGAAAGAUUUUUUGGUUGGGGAUGGACUCGCGGCCUAUCAGCUUGUUGGUGAGGUAAUGGCUCACCAAGGCGACGACGGGUAGCCGGCCUGAGAGGGUGACCGGCCACACUGGGACUGAGACACGGCCCAGACUCCUACGGGAGGCAGCAGUGGGGAAUAUUGCACAAUGGGCGAAAGCCUGAUGCAGCAACGCCGCGUGAGGGAUGACGGCCUUCGGGUUGUAAACCUCUUUUAGUAGGGAAGAAGCGAAAGUGACGGUACCUGCAGAAAAAGCACCGGCUAACUACGUGCCAGCAGCCGCGGUAAUACGUAGGGUGCAAGCGUUGUCCGGAAUUAUUGGGCGUAAAGAGCUCGUAGGCGGUUUGUCGCGUCUGCUGUGAAAUCCCGAGGCUCAACCUCGGGCUUGCAGUGGGUACGGGCAGACUAGAGUGCGGUAGGGGAGAUUGGAAUUCCUGGUGUAGCGGUGGAAUGCGCAGAUAUCAGGAGGAACACCGAUGGCGAAGGCAGAUCUCUGGGCCGUAACUGACGCUGAGGAGCGAAAGCAUGGGGAGCGAACAGGAUUAGAUACCCUGGUAGUCCAUGCCGUAAACGUUGGGCGCUAGAUGUAGGGACCUUUCCACGGUUUCUGUGUCGUAGCUAACGCAUUAAGCGCCCCGCCUGGGGAGUACGGCCGCAAGGCUAAAACUCAAAGGAAUUGACGGGGGCCCGCACAAGCGGCGGAGCAUGCGGAUUAAUUCGAUGCAACGCGAAGAACCUUACCAAGGCUUGACAUACACCGGAAACGGCCAGAGAUGGUCGCCCCCUUGUGGUCGGUGUACAGGUGGUGCAUGGUUGUCGUCAGCUCGUGUCGUGAGAUGUUGGGUUAAGUCCCGCAACGAGCGCAACCCUCGUUCUAUGUUGCCAGCGGGUUAUGCCGGG
RNAcentral lists this ribosomal RNA (1062 nucleotides) under Curtobacterium sp. RNAcentral's name for it is "bacterial SSU rRNA". It matches the Rfam family "Bacterial small subunit ribosomal RNA", at positions 61 to 1135 of the family's 1533-position model. The record is from RNAcentral. Lineage: Bacteria; Bacillati; Actinomycetota; Actinomycetes; Micrococcales; Microbacteriaceae.